This 253-nucleotide ribosomal RNA is filed under the name uncultured bacterium. RNAcentral's name for it is "partial 16S ribosomal RNA". It matches the Rfam family "Bacterial small subunit ribosomal RNA", at positions 524 to 776 of the family's 1533-position model. RNAcentral also lists the same sequence under 1 other name. The record is from RNAcentral.
UACAGAGGUCUCAAGCGUUGUUCGGAUUCAUUGGGCGUAAAGGGCGCGUAGGCGGCGGGGUAAGUCGGGUGUGAAAUCUCAGGGCUCAACCCUGAAACUGCACUCGAUACUGCUCUGCUUGAGGACUGGAGAGGAGACUGGAAUUCACGGUGUAGCAGUGAAAUGCGUAGAGAUCGUGAGGAAGACCAGUGGCGAAGGCGGGUCUCUGGACAGUUCCUGACGCUGAGGCGCGAAGGCCAGGGGAGCAAACGGG